UUCAAUGAUGAAAUAAAACCUUUUCAUUUCUUUUUCUGGUACCUCUUAUGUCAGCGGUAGAUCCUUGUGGUCUAUCUCGAUGAUCUAACCGGACUUCUGAUC
This 102-nucleotide small nucleolar RNA is filed under the name Aspergillus rambellii. Its description in RNAcentral is "A. fumigatus snoRNA Afu_264". It matches the Rfam family "A. fumigatus snoRNA Afu_264". The record is from Rfam by way of RNAcentral. Lineage: Eukaryota; Fungi; Ascomycota; Eurotiomycetes; Eurotiales; Aspergillaceae.